UACGCUGGCGGAAUGCUUUACACACUGCAUGUCUGAACGGCAGCACGGACUUCGGUCUGGUGGCGAUGUGGCUGAACGGGUGAGUAAUACAUCGGAACGUGCCCAGUCGUGGGCGGAUAACGUAGCGAAAGCUACGCUAAUACCGCAUACGAUCUACGGAUGAAAGCGGGGGAUCGCAAGACCUCGCGCGAUUGGAGCGGCCGAUGGCAGAUUAGGUAGUUGGUAGGGUAAAGGCCUACCAAGCCGACGAUCUGUAGCUGGUCUGAGAGGACGACCAGCCACACUGGUGACUGAGACACGGCCCAGACUCCUACGGGAGGCAGCAUGUGGGGAAUUUUGGACAAUGGGCGAAAGCCUGAUCCAGCCAUUCCGACUGUGCAGGAUGAAGGCCCUCGGGUUGUAAACUGCUUUUGUACGGAACGAAAAGGUCCUGGUUAAUACCUGGGGCUCAUGACGGUACCGUAAGAAUAAGCACCGGCUAACUACGUGCCAGCAGACCGCGGUAAUACGUAGGGUGCAAGCGUUAAUCGGAAUUACUGGGCGUAAAGCGUGCGCAGGCGGUGAUGUAAGACAGAGGUGAAAUCCCCGGGCUCAACCUGGGAACUGCCUUUGUGACUGCAUCGCUGGAGUACGGCAGAGGGGGAUGGAAUUCCGCGUGUAGCAGUGAACAUGC
This 673-nucleotide ribosomal RNA is filed under the name uncultured Acidovorax sp. RNAcentral describes it as "bacterial SSU rRNA". It matches the Rfam family "Bacterial small subunit ribosomal RNA", at positions 32 to 689 of the family's 1533-position model. The record is from RNAcentral. Lineage: Bacteria; Pseudomonadati; Pseudomonadota; Betaproteobacteria; Burkholderiales; Comamonadaceae.